UCCGCAUUGGCAGUGUGGUUAGCUGGUUGUUGUACUCCAAGCCAACAGCCACUAACAACACUGCUCCUGCGUG
This is a microRNA precursor of Operophtera brumata (winter moth), 73 nucleotides long. It matches the Rfam family "mir-34 microRNA precursor family". From Rfam's summary of the family: Human mir-34a was discovered computationally and later experimentally verified. The mature sequence is excised from the 5' arm of the hairpin. The record is from Rfam. Lineage: Eukaryota; Metazoa; Arthropoda; Insecta; Lepidoptera; Geometridae.